GGGUUAGUAACGCGUGGGAAUAUACCCUUCACUAUGGAAUAGCCUCGGGAAACUGAGAGUAAUACCAUAUACGCCCUUCGGGGGAAAGAUUUAUCGGGGAAGGAUUAGCCCGCGUAAGAUUAGAUAGUUGGUGGGGUAAUGGCCUACCAAGUCUACGAUCUUUAGCUGGUUUUAGAGGAUGAUCAGCAACACUGGGACUGAGACACGGCCCAGACUCCUACGGGAGGCAGCAGUGGGGAAUCUUAGACAAUGGGCGAAAGCCUGAUCUAGCCAUGCCGCGUGAGUGAUGAAGGUCUUAGGAUCGUAAAGCUCUUUCGCUAGGGAUGAUAAUGACAGUACCUAGUAAAGAAGCCCCGGCUAACUCCGUGCCAGCAGCCGCGGUAAUACGGAGGGGGCUAGCGUUGUUCGGAAUUACUGGGCGUAAAGCGUACGUAGGCGGAUCAGAAAGUAUGGGGUGAAAUCCCAGGGCUUAACCCUGGAACUGCCUCAUAAACUCCUGGUCUUGAGUUCGAGAGAGGUGAGUGGAAUUCCAAGUGUAGAGGUGAAAUUCGUAGAUAUUUGGAGGAACACCAGUGGCGAAGGCGGCUCACUGGCUCGAUACUGACGCUGAGGUACGAAAGUGUGGGGAGCAAACAGGAUUAGAUACCCUGGUAGUCCACACCGUAAACGAUGAAUGCCAGUCGUCGGGCAGUAUAC
RNAcentral lists this ribosomal RNA (696 nucleotides) under uncultured bacterium. RNAcentral's name for it is "bacterial SSU rRNA". It matches the Rfam family "Bacterial small subunit ribosomal RNA", at positions 104 to 835 of the family's 1533-position model. The record is from RNAcentral.